This 253-nucleotide ribosomal RNA is filed under the name uncultured bacterium. Its description in RNAcentral is "partial 16S ribosomal RNA". It matches the Rfam family "Bacterial small subunit ribosomal RNA", at positions 524 to 776 of the family's 1533-position model. The record is from RNAcentral.
GACAGAGGGUGCAACCGUUGUUCGGAAUUACUGGGCGUAAAGCGCGUGUAGGCGGCCCUGCAAGUCGGAUGUGAAAUCCCACGGCUCAACCGUGGAAGUGCAUUCGAAACUGCAGGGCUAGAGUCCUGGAGAGGAAGGUGGAAUGCUUGGUGUAGAGGUGAAAUUCGUAGAUAUCAAGCGGAACACCGGUGGCGAAGGCGGCCUUCUGGACAGUGACUGACGCUGAGGCGCGAAAGCUAGGGGAGCAAACAGG